GUAAGGAAUAUUGGACAAUGGACGCAAGUCUGAUCCAGCCAUGCCGCGUGAAGGAUUAAGGUCCUCUGGAUUGUAAACUUCUUUUAUAAGGGACGAAAAAAGGCUUUUCUAAGUCGUCUUACGGUACCUUAUGAAUAAGCACCGGCUAACUCCGUGCCAGCAGCCGCGGUAAUACGGAGGGUGCAAGCGUUAUCCGGAUUCACUGGGUUUAAAGGGUGCGUAGGCGGGCAGGUAAGUCAGUGGUGAAAUCCUAGAGCUUAACUCUAGAACUGCCAUUGAUACUAUCUGUCUUGAAGAUUGUGGAGGUAAGCGGAAUAUGUCAUGUAGCGGUGAAAUGCUUAGAUAUGACAUAGAACACCUAUUGCGAAGGCUGCUUACUACGCAUAUAUUGACGCUGAGGCACGAAAGCGUGGGGAUCAAACAGGAUUAGAAACCCUAGUAGUCC
RNAcentral lists this ribosomal RNA (445 nucleotides) under uncultured bacterium. Its description in RNAcentral is "partial 16S ribosomal RNA". It matches the Rfam family "Bacterial small subunit ribosomal RNA", at positions 354 to 796 of the family's 1533-position model. The record is from RNAcentral.